Molecule: regulatory RNA element, 111 nt
Organism: Paenibacillus mucilaginosus 3016
Lineage: Bacteria; Bacillati; Bacillota; Bacilli; Caryophanales; Paenibacillaceae
Rfam family: epsC RNA
Source: Rfam
GGGUGAUGUCUACUGUACCCUUAUCAUUGUAGGCACUCGGUCAUGCUGUGGGACUUCGAUCCUUAGACGCCAGUCGUCGAGGGUGUGAUAUGAGGGUGGGUGAAAUGCCCU